GUAAUGGCGAAUGAACUCGGAGCAGCUCAGAGUGGAAAUCAAGGCCCGAGGCCUUGAAUUGUAAUUUGUAACUGCGUUGCCAACGCGGGCGCAAAUAUAAGUCGCUUGGAAGAGCGCACCACAGAGGGUGAGAGUCCCGUCUAUAAUUUGCAGCCUCGUGUGUACGGCACGCUGUGCAGAGUCACGUUCCUUGGGAAUGGAGCGCAAAGUGGGUGGUAAAUUUCAUCUCAAGCUAAAUAUGAAUUUGAGACCGAUAGCAAACAAGUACCAUGAGGGAAAGGUGAAAAGUACUUUGAAAAGAGAGUUAAAAGUGCCUGAAAUUGCUGGAAGGGAAGCGAAAGGAACCAGCCUGCAUGGUAAGAUUGUCGUGUGAGCUUCUAAAGCCGCACAAUGCAUCUGGCCAUGGCAAUCGUCGGUGGUUGUCGGCCGAGGAUACAAGCAGCUCUUCCCAGCUUCUUUCGAGAUUGCGGAAGCGUUGCUUAAACCCGCUUGGCGACCAUUUCCCUAUCUGGAGUUGAUGUAAGUUUCGCGCUUGCAUUCAACCCGGAUGCUCGACGAUCAAAUGGUUCUUCUCGACCCGUCUUGAAACACGGACCAAGGAGUCUAGCAACUGUGCGAGUUCAUGGGAUAUAAACCUAUUUUCGCAACGAAAGUGACUGCUGAGAUAUUUCCACCAGCAACCGACCAAUCAAUUGAGUGCGGUUUGAGUGUAAGCAUAUUUGUUAGGACCCGAAAGAUGGUGAACUAUGCCUGUGAAGGGUGAAGCCAGGGGAAACUCUGGUGGAGGCUCGUAGCGAUACUGACGUGCAAAUCGUUCGUC
This 820-nucleotide ribosomal RNA is filed under the name Margalefidinium fulvescens. RNAcentral describes it as "partial large subunit ribosomal RNA". It matches the Rfam family "Eukaryotic large subunit ribosomal RNA", at positions 83 to 906 of the family's 3401-position model. The record is from RNAcentral. Lineage: Eukaryota; Dinophyceae; Gymnodiniales; Gymnodiniaceae.